RNAcentral lists this transfer RNA (70 nucleotides) under Ciona intestinalis (vase tunicate). It matches the Rfam family "tRNA". Rfam says of the family: Transfer RNA (tRNA) molecules are approximately 80 nucleotides in length. Their secondary structure includes four short double-helical elements and three loops (D, anti-codon, and T loops). Further hydrogen bonds mediate the characteristic L-shaped molecular structure. tRNAs have two regions of fundamental functional importance: the anti-codon, which is responsible for specific mRNA codon recognition, and the 3' end, to which the tRNAs corresponding amino acid is attached (by aminoacyl-tRNA synthetases). tRNAs cope with the degeneracy of the genetic code in two manners: having more than one tRNA (with a specific anti-codon) for a particular amino acid; and 'wobble' base-pairing, i.e. permitting non-standard base-pairing at the 3rd anti-codon position. The record is from Rfam by way of RNAcentral. Lineage: Eukaryota; Metazoa; Chordata; Ascidiacea; Phlebobranchia; Cionidae.
GGCAUCAUGGCUAAGUGGUUAGUGUCUGCCUGUAACCCAGAGGUAAUGGGUUUAAGGCUCAUCGUUGCUA